CUCCAGAUGUUGCUGAACUACAACUCCCAUGAUUCUCAACCUAUAUAUUUUAUUCAUAGAAUCAUGGGAGUUGUAGUUCAGCAACAUCUGGAG
RNAcentral lists this microRNA precursor (93 nucleotides) under Pelobates cultripes (western spadefoot toad). The record is from RNAcentral. Lineage: Eukaryota; Metazoa; Chordata; Amphibia; Anura; Pelobatidae.